GCCUGGUGGGGCCGAGGAGCGGGGAGGGGGCUCCGUGACCCGGGCGGCGGGCGCGUGGGCUGCUGCUGCACGCGGCCGACAGCCGCGAAGUCAGCUGUGCACGGGCCGGCCCUAACGGAGCCCUGAGCACGUGCACCUUGGUGCGCACGUUCACGCUUCCCUAAUUUAAUCCCGGGAACAUCGAGUGCGCGCCGUUAGUAGGACAUCGAGGGGCACAAAAGUGGAGCGUCUGGCCCGAGUUCACGCGGUAGUGAAGGAGUCAGAAUUUGAAUUCAGGACUGCUUUGCCAAGAUGUUGAGUUUUAUUCAGCUUUUCGAAGACUUUCUCGGUUUGAUCCCCUGCUGGGGUCCAGAAAUUGUCUCUUCCAGCUCUGCAAGUCUCUACCUUUCUGGGCUCCUUAUUUCCUUUCAUUCUUGGUUGCAAACUGAGCUCAUGUCAAAUGUAGCCAGAGCAAAGGACUUUUUUUUUUUUUUUUUUUUUUUUUUUUAAGAUUCAUUGCCAGAGAGCAGGAGGAGGGGCAGAGGGAGAGAAUCUCAAGCAGACACGGUGCUGCGUGCAGAGUCCAAGUUGGGGCUCCAUCCCACGGCCCUGCGAUCACGACCUGAACCAAAACCAAGAGUCCACACUUAACCCACCUGGCCACCCAGGGCCCCAAGGACACACGAAAAUUUAAGAAGCAAAGAGAUAAUGGGAUUUUAACAAAUCGGAGGUUUAAGAUUUCCAUGGAGGACGUCACUGCAGAGGGGCUGCAAACAGCAGGAGAACUGGAAUUCCAAGUGGAGCCCGUAGAUGGGACCGAAUCGCGGCAAUCCUGUGAUUGAACAUGAGGGAGGAGGCGUCGCUUCCUGGGGCCGAGCAAAGAAAGUGGUUUCCCAAGACGGAAUCUAGUCCUGGUGACGAUGCUGUGAAGACCGUUGAAGAGACACCAGAGGGUUUAGGAUAUCAUGUCCACUCAGGUGCUAAAGUGGUGGCAGGAAGUUCUCCUGUGGGUGAAAUGCUAUCAAACAGCAUCACGUGCGACAGAAAAAUUGAGAAAGGAAGUCAAUUGAUGGGCAAAUCGUUGUCUCAAUUUAGGAAUCUGACACAGACACUCCAGCCGUCAGCAGCCACCACCCUGAUCUGUCAGCGGCCACAGACAUCGAGGCGUGACCCUCCUCCAACGAAAGGACUACGACUCGCUGAGAGCUCAGAAUCUUUCCACAGAAUCUUUCCAGCUUCCUCAGACUGUUCGGACUUGGCAUGUGCUGAUGGACAGAGGCAGCAGGUGCCCCCCACAGCUCUUGCCUUGCUGAAUGGCAUGCCCAGCUCCUGGUGACAGGACUGUCUUGAGCAGACUCGCCAGUGUACUUCUGCUCCAAAGCUCCUGGAGGAUGUACUCCAUGUCUAUCCUGGAACUGUUUCCUCCUGAGUACGCCUGAAAAACAUGCUGCCGACCCAUCAAAUUCUAAGCAGCAGAGUUAUGGGGACACAAGUGGACAUCGGAGAAAUCUUGGGAGCUUCACAUCCCAAGGGCCUGCUCUACUCCUGUCUGGCUCAGUAUACCCAUCCUGGGAAGAGGAGAAAUCUACUAUCACCGGGCUGGUGGAACACAUGAACCAGAAGCUGAAGUAUCCUUUGGCCUGAGUGGGGAGGAGACCUCAAGAAACCAAAAAGUCCUGGAAAUCAGGGUUCUGCAGCCACUAAAAGAUGCUAUGCCGCUCCCCCCCCUCCCCCCCGGCCAAGUAGGCAGCACAACAUCAGUUCUCUGCCUCAAUGGGCCAGGCUGGAUGGUGUUCUUAACAAGAUGGGGUAAGGGGCAAGGCUCUGAGGGAUUUCCAUUGGACAGAGAGGGAUGAUUCUGUCACACAGAGAGGUCAUUUUUGAAGAAUUGCUAGAUCUCUGAUAAGCAAAGUUAUUUGUCUAUCAGAAUCCAGAACAGCUGUCCCUUCCAUUCCUUUACCUACAACGCCCGUUAUUUCCAUUCACCCAUGGGCGCUGACAUCACUUCUUCACCUCCAUCUGCACCGACAGCCGUGCAGCCUGGGAGCUUCCCCAACAGCUGUGAGGGGCGUCAGGACUCAGGUAUGUGGGCAAGCCAGCUGCUGGUUGCAGACCUACCGAGCAAAGGCCAGCCCUGGGUCCAGCUGACCAGGUUCCUGGUGAGCACCAGACAGCUCCAAUUAAAAGUGUCUCUCGCAGGCUUUAGGAGGGGAGAUUACUGUUGUCUUCUCACAGGCCCUGAGCCUCCAAGAGGCCAGUGUGCCCUUGAUCCAGCCCCACUCUUCCUGCUCUGUGCACUAGUGUGGCCCAUCAAUCAGCCCCCCCCCCCCCAAUCUAAUGGGUACAAUUCCUUAUUACAAAUGGGAAGCACAACAUAUAUUCCUUCCCUGCCAUCUCCAGGAAGACCGACCUCAUAAUCAGACUGUAUUACAAAUUAAGAACAAUCAUCCAGACUGGGCAGAUGGAAGACGGGGGAAUCCAGAGGUCAAAGGAGGCUGUCAGUGAACUUGAGUGCGCCAGGCAGGCAGCAGUUUUCUUACCCAGCAUGGGCCUGCUGGAAUAUGGAUGGCUACGUGCUGCUGCUGCUUCUGAUUCCUGGCCCCCAGACCGCCCGGAACCACAGCAGUCUCAGAAAGCCACAGGUACUGUCUCAGUGACUUCACACAAGUGGCUGAUUACUGAGGUAUCCCUCCUGUCCCUCAGUACAUGAGGCUCUGACUCUCUGGCAUUGCCCACUGGCUCACAACCACAAGACUGCUGUGGAAACACCAAGUCCCUGGCUGGUCUGGGUUCCCACCAGUUUCCUCUGGGCAGCAUGUGAGAAAGGGCUCCCUGCCUUUUUCCUUUCCUUUUUCUUUUUCAGGUAUCAUCCAGAUCUAGCUUCCAAGGGUUCCAAGACUUCCUCAUCCCAUCUGGACCCAAAAGCAAGAGCUGAUUUUUAAAAGUCAAAUUCUUGUUUCAUUUGGACAGAAGGAAUAAUGUAUCUUUCAUAUUUUCUUUGUAUUUCUCUUCAAUAGUUGCUUGACCCAAUAUCUGUCUGCUCUAUACAAUGAAAAUACAAACUAAA
Molecule: long non-coding RNA, 3046 nt
Organism: Mustela lutreola (European mink)
Lineage: Eukaryota; Metazoa; Chordata; Mammalia; Carnivora; Mustelidae
Exons: 5
Source: RefSeq, a predicted model, not a curated record